CGAAAUAUGUUAUACUAAUAGAUGCAAACGGGUUUAUGGUGGUGCGCCAGCCUUUUUCAUCGGUCCUUCCGAUAGAAAGCAGGUGGUGCUUAUGUUAUUUUUAAGCGUUACCCAGAAAGGAUAAACGUGUGACUGUUUACGAGAGUCUUACACUAAUGAUUGCCUUUGCAGUCUUAGUUGUAACGAUCAUGAACAGCAA
This is a small RNA of Listeria grayi DSM 20601, 199 nucleotides long. It matches the Rfam family "Listeria sRNA rli28". The record is from Rfam. NCBI's taxonomy places the organism in Bacteria, Bacillati, Bacillota, Bacilli, Caryophanales, Listeriaceae.